CUAGGUACUGGAGGUCCGAACCCACUAAUUUUGAAAAAUUAGGGGAUGAGCUGUGGAUAGGGGUGAAAGGCUAAACAAAUCCGGAAAUAGCUGGUUCUCCCCGAAAACUAUUUAGGUAGUGCGUCAUGUAUCACUUGCGGGGGUAAAGCACUGUUAUGGCUAGGGGGUCAUCGCGACUUACCAAACCAUGGCAAACUCUGAAUACCGCAAAGUGCGAGCAUGGCAGACAGACAGUGGGUGCUAACGUCCAUUGUCAAGAGGGAAACAACCCAGACCGCCAGCUAAGGUCCCCAAGACACAGUUAAGUGGGAAACGAAGUGGGAAGGCAUAGACAGCUAGGAGGUUGGCUUAGAAGCAGCCAUCCUUUAAAGAAAGCGUAAUAGCUCACUAGUCGAGUCGUCCUGCGCGGAAGAUGUAACGGGGCUCAAACUGUGCACCGAAGCUGCGGAUAUCGAAAGAUAUGGUAGGGGAGCGUUCUGUAGGUCUGUGAAGGUGUCUUGUAAAGGAUGCUGGAGAUAUCAGAAGUGCGAAUGCUGACAUGAGUAGCAAUAAAGGGCGUGAAAAGCGCCCUCGCCGAAAGCCCAAGGUUUCCUACGCAACGUUCAUCGGCGUAGGGUGAGUCGGCUCCUAAGGCGAGGCAGAAAUGCGUAGUCGAUGGGAAACAGGUCAAUAUUCCUGUACCGAUUCUAGAUGCGAUGUGGGGACGGAGAAGGUUAGGUCAGCCGGGUGUUGGACGUCCCGGUUUAAGCGUGUAGGCGUGCCCCUUAGGCAAAUCCGGGGGGCUAAGCUGAGGCGUGAUGACGAGGAACCACGGUUCCGAAGUGAUUGAUACCAAGCUUCCAGGAAAAGCCACUAAGCUUCAGUCUAGAGUUGACCGUACCGCAAACCGACACAGGUGGGCAGGAUGAAAAUUCUAAGGCGCUUGAGAGAACUCAGGAGAAGGAACUCGGCAAAUUAACACCGUAACUUCGGGAGAAGGUGUGCCCCGGUAGCGUGUAGAGACUUGCUCUCGAAGCGCGAUGGGGUUGCAGUGAAAUGGUGGCUGCGACUGUUUAAUAAAAACACAGCACUCUGCAAACACGAAAGUGGACGUAUAGGGUGUGACGCCUGCCCGGCGCCGGAAGGUUAAGUGAUGGGGUGCAAGCUCUUGAUCGAAGCCCCGGUAAACGGCGGCCGUAACAAUAACGGUCCUAAGGUAGCGAAAUUCCUUGUCGGGUAAGUUCCGACCUGCACGAAUGGCGUAACGAUGGCCACACUGUCUCCUCCUGGGACUCAGCGAAGUUGAAAUGUUUGUGAAGAUGCAAUCUACCCGCGGCUAGACGGAAAGACCCCAUGAACCUUUACUGUAGCUUUGCAUUGGACUUUGAACC
Molecule: ribosomal RNA, 1370 nt
Filed under: metagenome
Description: bacterial LSU rRNA
Rfam family: Bacterial large subunit ribosomal RNA
Source: RNAcentral